RNAcentral lists this ribosomal RNA (180 nucleotides) under Escherichia coli. Its description in RNAcentral is "partial 23S ribosomal RNA". It matches the Rfam family "Bacterial large subunit ribosomal RNA", at positions 1 to 172 of the family's 2925-position model. RNAcentral also lists the same sequence under 1 other name. The record is from RNAcentral. Lineage: Bacteria; Pseudomonadati; Pseudomonadota; Gammaproteobacteria; Enterobacterales; Enterobacteriaceae.
GGGUUGUGAGGUUAAGCGACUAAGCGUACACGGUGGAUGCCCUGGCAGUCAGAGGCGAUGAAGGACGUGCUAAUCUGCGAUAAGCGUCGGUAAGGUGAUAUGAACCGUUAUAACCGGCGAUUUCCGAAUGGGGAAACCCAGUGUGAUUCGUCACACUAUCAUUAACUGAAUCCAUAGGUU